ACGCACGUAGCUCAGUUGGUUAGAGCGUUAGGUUGUGGUCCUAAAGGUCGUGGGUUCGAGACCCAUCGUGCGUCCCA
RNAcentral lists this transfer RNA (77 nucleotides) under Candidatus Altimarinota bacterium. Its description in RNAcentral is "tRNA-His". It matches the Rfam family "tRNA". From Rfam's summary of the family: Transfer RNA (tRNA) molecules are approximately 80 nucleotides in length. Lineage: Bacteria; Candidatus Altimarinota. The record is from RNAcentral.